GACGAGCGCUGGCGGCGUGCCUAAUACAUGCAAGUAGAACGCUGAAGGAGGAGCUUGCUUCUCUGGAUGAGUUGCGAACGGGUGAGUAACGCGUAGGUAACCUGCCUGGUAGCGGGGGAUAACUAUUGGAAACGAUAGCUAAUACCGCAUAAGAGUAGAUGUUGCAUGACAUUUGCUUAAAAGGUGCAAUUGCAUCACUACCAGAUGGACCUGCGUUGUAUUAGCUAGUUGGUGGGGUAACGGCUCACCAAGGCGACGAUACAUAGCCGACCUGAGAGGGUGAGCAGCCACACUGAGACUGAGACACGCCCCAGACGCCUACAGGAGGCAGCAGUAGGGAAACGGCGGCAAGGGACGGAAGUCAGACCGAGCAACGCCGCGUGAGGGAAGAAGGAUGUCGGAUCGGAAAGCUCUGUUGUAAGAGAAGAACGAGUGUGAGAGUGGAAAGUACACACUGUGACGGUAUCUGACCAGAAAGGGACGGCUAACUACGUG
Molecule: ribosomal RNA, 495 nt
Filed under: uncultured bacterium
Lineage: Bacteria
Description: partial 16S ribosomal RNA
Rfam family: Bacterial small subunit ribosomal RNA
Source: RNAcentral